UCCACCUGGGACCCCCCAAAGUUCACCUGGGACCCCCAAACCUCACCUGGGACCCCCCAAAAUUCACCUGAACACCCCAAAAUUCACCUGGGACCCCCCAAAAUCAGACGAGGCCUUUAGAAAACACCUUUAAUGGGGGCACAGGUAAUAAAUAGGGGGCUCAGGUGGGCACAGGUGGGCUCAGGUGGGCUCAGGUGUGCCCAGGUGUGCCCAGGUGUGCCCAGGUGUGCCCAGGUGCGCUCAGGUGAUCCCAGGUGAUUCCAGCUGUGCCCAGGUGUGCCCAGGUGCGCCCAGGUGUGCCCAGGUGCGCCCAGGUGCGCCCAGGUGUGCCCAGCUGCGCUCAGGUGCAGUUCAGGUGAUCCCAGGUGCGCUCAGGUGCGGCAGCAGAGGCCGCAGCCGCGGUUGCGGCAGCAGCCGCAGCAGAAGGAGCAGAGCGGGAAGUGGGGGCUGUGCCGGCGGCGCCGCGCCCAGGUGAGCGCCAGGUGAGGGGGCACGGCCUCGGCCGGGCCGCCGGCAGGGGUCACCUGGGGGAAGCAAAAUUCCAGGUAUGAAUCCCUGGGAACACCUGAAAUCCAGGUGAGGUUACCUGGGAACACCUGAAAUCCAGGUGUGAGUCC
This 617-nucleotide long non-coding RNA is filed under the name Lonchura striata (white-rumped munia). Its description in RNAcentral is "domestica (Bengalese finch) lncRNA (ENSLSDG00000003022.1)". Lineage: Eukaryota; Metazoa; Chordata; Aves; Passeriformes; Estrildidae. The record is from RNAcentral.